CAACUGAUUUGAAGAGCUUGCUCAGAUAUGACGAUGGACAUUGCAAAGAGUGGCGAACGGGUGAGUAACACGUGGGAAACCUACCUCUUAGCAGGGGAUAACAUUUGGAAACAGAUGCUAAUACCGUAUAACAAUGACAACCGCAUGGUUGUUAUUUAAAAGAUGGUUCUGCUAUCACUAAGAGAUGGUCCCGCGGUGCAUUAGCUAGUUGGUAAGGUAAUGGCUUACCAAGGCGAUGAUGCAUAGCCGAGUUGAGAGACUGAUCGGCCACAAUGGGACUGAGACACGGCCCAUACUCCUACGGGAGGCAGCAGUAGGGAAUCUUCCACAAUGGGCGAAAGCCUGAUGGAGCAACGCCGCGUGUGUGAUGAAGGGUUUCGGCUCGUAAAACACUGUUGUAAGAGAAGAAUGACAUUGAGAGUAACUGUUCAAUGUGUGACGGUAUCUUACCAGAAAGGAACGGCUAAAUACGUGCCAGCAGCCGCGGUAAUACGUAUGUUCCAAGCGUUAUCCGGAUUUAUUGGGCGUAAAGCGAGCGCAGACGGUUAUUUAAGUCUGAAGUGAAAGCCCUCAGCUCAACUGAGGAAUUGCUUUGGAAACUGGAUGACUUGAGUGCAGUAGAGGAAAGUGGAACUCCAUGUGUAGCGGUGAAAUGCGUAGAUAUAUGGAAGAACACCAGUGGCGAAGGCGGCUUUCUGGACUGUAACUGACGUUGAGGCUCGAAAGUGUGGGUAGCAAACAGGAUUAGAUACCCUGGUAGUCCACA
Molecule: ribosomal RNA, 766 nt
Filed under: Weissella confusa
Lineage: Bacteria; Bacillati; Bacillota; Bacilli; Lactobacillales; Lactobacillaceae
Description: bacterial SSU rRNA
Rfam family: Bacterial small subunit ribosomal RNA
Source: RNAcentral